Molecule: transfer RNA, 72 nt
Filed under: Marmota monax (woodchuck)
Lineage: Eukaryota; Metazoa; Chordata; Mammalia; Rodentia; Sciuridae
Description: tRNA.Ala
Rfam family: tRNA
About the family: Transfer RNA (tRNA) molecules are approximately 80 nucleotides in length. Their secondary structure includes four short double-helical elements and three loops (D, anti-codon, and T loops).
Source: RNAcentral
GGGGAUAUGGCUUAGUUAGUAGAGUGCUUGCCUUGCAUGCAAAAGGUCCUGGGUUCAAUCCCCAGUACCACA